GAUGAACGCUGGCGGCGUGCCUAACACAUGCAAGUCGAGCGAACAGACGAGGAUCUUGCUCCUCUGACGUUAGCGGCGGACGGGUGAGUAACACGUGGAUAACCUACCUAUAAGACUGGGAUAACUUCGAGAAACCGGAGCUAAUACCGGAUAAUAUAUUGAACCGCAUGGGUCAAUAGUGAAAGACGGUUUUGCUGUCACUUAUAGAUGGAUCCGAGCCGCUUUAACUAGUUGGUUAGGUAACGGCUUACCAAGGCAGCGAGGCGUAGCCGAACUGAGAGGAUGAUCGGCCACACGGGAACGGAGACGCGGUCCAGACUCCUGAGGGAGGCAGCAGUCGGGAAUCUUCGGCAGAGGGCGGAAGGCUGACGGAGGAAAGCCGCGUGAGUGAGGAAGGUCUUCGGCGCGUAAAACUCUGUUAUUAGGGAAGAACAAAUGUGUAAGUAACUAUGCGCGGCUUGACGGUACCUAAUCAGAAAGCCACGGCUAACUACGUG
This 497-nucleotide ribosomal RNA is filed under the name uncultured bacterium. RNAcentral's name for it is "partial 16S ribosomal RNA". It matches the Rfam family "Bacterial small subunit ribosomal RNA", at positions 28 to 507 of the family's 1533-position model. The record is from RNAcentral.